Molecule: ribosomal RNA, 330 nt
Filed under: uncultured bacterium
Lineage: Bacteria
Description: bacterial SSU rRNA
Rfam family: Bacterial small subunit ribosomal RNA
Source: RNAcentral
UCUGUAGGCGGUGCGGCAAGUCGGGAGUGAAAUCUCGGGGCUUAACUCCGAGUCUGCUUCCGAAACUGCUGUGCUCGAGUGUGGGAGAGGUGAGUGGAAUUGCAGGUGUAGCGGUGAAAUGCGUAGAUAUCUGCAGGAACACCAGAGGCGAAGGCGGCUCACUGGACCACAACUGACGCUGAGAGACGAAAGCUAGGGGAGCAAACAGGAUUAGAUACCCUGGUAGUCCUAGCCCUAAACCAUCAGGACUUGGCGUGGGUCCCGUUCGGGGCCCGUGUCGGAGCUAACGUGUGAAGUCCUGCGCCUGGGGAGUACGGUCGCAAGGCUGAA